GGAGAUUACAGAUCAUCAUUUUGGAACUGCAAACUCUGUUCAUCUCAAAACAUCAAAACCAAUCCAACACAUCAGCAGAAAUCACGCAGUGAUUCCUCAGUGUGUUUACAGAGAGAACAUGAUGCUCAUGCUAAGAAAACCAAAGAGAAUUUAAGCCAUCCACUGAGAAACUGGCAGACUGAGUGAAAGCUGAAGGCCUGGUGGAGUUUGCUGAUGGCAGGGAUCAGCCAGCUGUGCUGACCCUGCUCCCCUUGCACAUUACUCCUCUGUGCCAACCCUGCUGCUCACAAACAGCCUUCCCCUAGACAAGAUUCCAGGGACAGGCACGAUUUAUCCUGCAAACACUGCUCCUGCCUGCUGGAGGUGGACUUGAUCCAGAACAGGGAGGAUAUUCUGCACAUUCUCCUCAGCGCUACCUAUGCAGACAUGGGGAUAUUAGAAACAGGAGCCAAGUGUCUGUGGGAAUAUCAGCUGGUACCAGGAACUGACUGCAGACAGAAAGAGCAAGAACAAGCAGGAAGGUGAGAGCAUAAAAGUCUACAACUGCACUGCAACAGGAGCCUGAGGUCACAACAGGGACUAUUAUUUUCUGGCAGGAGAGAAAUAGUAAAUCGAUGCUUCAUUCUGAUCUGGUGGCUGGCUGACAUCUAUGGCACCCUGACACAGGUGGCUCACACGACAGCCUCCUGCAGUAUAUCUUCCACGCUUAGGAACAUUACAAGAAGCAGAACAGUUUCCACAAGAUAUAUUGUGUUUGUGUUUUCAGAAGCCUCUAGAACCUCACAAUAAAACAAAACAAAACCAAACCCAAACCAACACCCCAGCACACAGGUAGCUGAGGUCUCAGAAGCAAGGAAUUUCCAGAACUGGCUUGAAUAGGACAACCUUAGUUUUGUUUCUUUCUAACUUUUUAUAUAUACUUGUCUUAUAUAUACUUUUUCAGGAGAAAACAUGCUUACCUGGGAAGCUUGUAUUUCAACUAUGUAGACAAACCCACUAGUUUACAGCCAAAAACACACCCCAGAAGGUACAUUCUGAUUUCCUUGGCGCUGCCCCUCAAUCCAGCUCUAGAAAUUGACCCCCAGCCAACUAAUUUACUCCAAUGCCAACCAAGGAGUAAUUGUGCUGUGCUCCGAAUACUUGUUCUGCUUUCCUUGCCAACACCACCAACAGCAGGGACAGAAUCUGCCCUAAAAACAGGCAGUGGUCCCUGGAUCCUUUAACCUGACCCUCAGACAGGAGAGUGAGGAUGCAUAAGCAGACUUGUGCUUGUGACAAGGUAAAUUGUGAGCAAGCCGAAGUGAAAUUGCCAGGUACAAGGCACCUGCUGGUUAUGACAAAUUUUGUUUGCUCCAUUAUUGCAGGCAAUACAAAACCAGGGCAUUACACAGCUUCUGCACUUACAUCCAGUGUAGAGAGGGAUUUCUUACAGGGACAUAUGCCUCCAGUAUCACUGCUUCAGUAUUUAUGCCUGGCUCCAUUCACUUUUCUGCUUACAGACCAUACCCAGUAAUGAAACACUGCCUCUUUUAUAAUUAAAAUGUGGAUUUUUUUCAGCUCAGUUACUGAUGGGGCUUUCAAUGGAAACCUUAGAAAUAAAGGUCCCCCAAAUUUUGUCUCAAAGACACCCAGUCUAACUACAGAUCUGGAUGUUACAACCCUGGGUUUUGUCAGAAGUUUUCGAUGUCACUUUAAAACCAUUUAUGUCUUGAUAUUCCAAAUGGACAUGCCUAUAUAUUGGAUUUUGUUCUAGAUAUAUUGAUGCAAGAUGUCAUCAAUUUUUUUUGCCAGAAAUCAGUGGCUGUAAACACUUCAAUUUUACUACUUAAACUUACAAAAGCAAAUUACUACUCAUCUGUAUUUAGGAAUCCAUUUAAACUGGUAAUACUUGCAAGUGCUAAUUUUGCAUAAACUCUGGUAAUGUUUAUUAAUGAAAGAGACAAUAUAGUACCAAUUAAGAAAUGUUCAGCAGCUAGUUAAUAAUAGACAAAAUAAUCCUAUUUGCCUCCUCAGCUGUCUUUGCAAAUGUUUAACAAUUAAGAUAUCCAAGCUCAAGUAGCCUAAAUAAAGAGGCUUUCUCCUUACAUGCCUUUCUGUCCUUGAGUGUUUAGCUCAUACAGAUCAACAACUGAGACUUGUGAAGGUAAAGCAUAACUACACAUUUCCUUUCACUUCUUCACUGUCACUGCAUGUUGUCAGGGGCUACAUAAUGACAAAAACAUCUCCAGGUCAGGGGGAGAUCAGGACACGCAGCCCCUUCUGCAUUGGAGGUGACAUUCCUCCUUGAUCAGCACCUACACCUUGACUCGUGCCUGCUGCACCACGGCAGUGUCACUGCUUCUGAUGGCACCUCUCUGUUUUCUCUUUUCCAGAGCUAUCCCUGCACAGUCCAGGCUGGGUUAGCACUCUCUCUUACACAAACUAUGAGGAAUUGCAGCUCAAGAGGAUGCAGGAACCCUGGUGACACAUGCCAGGGUCAGCCUGGUGCACGUUCAGGAAUAGCAGUUUGGACAGGCAGUGUUUUCCCUCACUCCCUAGCAGCUCUGCACUAACACAGCCUCCAGAUCAGUUCUCAAGUGCUGGGAAAUGAUGAAGUCACUGCUGGGGGCUGCAAGAGACUCGACAGCAUUGCUUCAGUUGCCUGUUUCUGCUCAGCAAGGAGCUGCCCAGAGAGAGACUUCAGAUAUUUAAGCAGAAUCCCUUCUCUCUGGGAGAUGUACCCUCUCUGUCCUUGCCUCCUCUCAUUCACAUUUCAGUGCAUUAUCCAGCUCUUACACAGCAAGACUUCAGAGAACCACCCUCCUUCAAGGCAUGUUUAGCUGAAAUUUCCUGUGAUUUACUCACACCAUGAGAGGAACAGUAUUUCAUUAGAGCUGUUUUCAAAAAUUAAACUAAUUACAAGAAAUACUAAUGAAUUAAUAUAAUAUGUUGCAUUUUGCACAUUAUUGAUAUCAUAUUAUAGCAUGAUAAUUAUAAUGAAUACUUUUCUCUCUGGUGAUCAGUGAGAGAACAUGAGGAAUGGCAAGAAGUUGUGCCAGGGAAAGUUUAGUUUGGAUAUCAGGAAAAGGUUUUUCAUUCUGAGGGUGGCUGGGCACUGGAACAGGCUCCCCAGGGCAGUGAUCACAGCACCAAGCCUGACAGAGAUUCAAAAAUAUUUCGGAUGAUACUCUUGGGCAAAAGAUGUGACUCUUGGAGCUGUCAUGUGAAGGGCCUGGACUUGAACUUUGAUGACCCUUCCAAGUCAGAAUGUUCUAUUGACUCUGUGAACUACCGAGAUCUGCUCUUCUGCCUUCCCUCAAAUCUGUAACACUGAGUUCUGCUUUUCUUUAGGGUCCUUCCCACAGGCUCACAUGACAUGGAGAUUAGCAGAUAAUGCAGAACUGUCUGAGAACAUUUCAGCAGGAAACAGUGUCAAAUUCACCAAGUUAACAUGAUAGAUUAUGAUAAAGUGAAUGCCUGGGGUGCUGUGUACCUGAACUAUGUGGUGCUGUGUAUCACAGCAAAUGAUUUCCUAAAAACCCCUAACUGGGCAAUUUCAACCGUAUAAAAAUGCAACUAAACAUGCCUUUGCUUGUUGUGAGACACUUUCUUCUCCUUCUCAGCAGCUAUAAAACAUAUGGUUUACAGUGUUAAGAGCCUCUGUAAAUCAUGCAGUGAUACCUGUGGGUUAUACUUAGUCAUAGACACAUCUUCAGCUGAUGUCAAUGGUUGUAACAGGCCUGACGUCAGAGCUGAGAUUAUUUACAGCAGCUGAGCAUCUGUGCUCAGCACUUACCAAGGCAGGCAUAUGAGUAGGGAUUUAGUUUUAGGGUCAGAGGGACAUUAAAGUAGAACUUGGUCUGGAGAAAUUAAAGCCAGGCAAUGACUCAAAUCUGGUCCUUGUCUGCUUGAGAGCAGAUCUACAGCUAUGAACAUGUUAAUCUUGACUCUCCUGCUCGCUGCCCCUGCUGCCCUUUACUUAUAUAGCAUAAACCAAAAAAAAAAAUCUCUGAAACAAAAUGAAUACAUACAAAAAUAACAUUUGAGAGGUGUUUAACAUUUGUUUCACCCUCUAAAAAGAGAGGGUGACAAACACCUUUCACAGGAUCAGCGAGGACAGUGCUGAAUCUUACAAGCUUCUCUCUACAGGCAGGAAAGGGAAUACUUGAAGAGGCAUCUCCACACUAUAAUUCACCCACCAGAGAAGAGAAACUUAAUCCAGUUACCUCCCAAGGAUGAACAGAAAUGUAUCCUGGACUGUAAUCACAGCAGGACUCCAGGCCUCCUCUCAGGGUAAUUUUAGUAGAAGCCUCCUUUUAGUAAGAGGGUCACAGCAGCUAAGUAAGAGUGCUAGAGCCUAGGGGGAAGCCUCCUUCACAGCUGGGAGGGUUUCCCAAGUCACUUCUUAGGCCAAGUUCCAGGCAGCCCUCACAAUAUUCUAAUUAUGUGUUGCUGCACUGCAUAUAAACCUCACGACCAAGGUUUUUGCAACUUCCACAUUAUAGUUUUAUAACAGCAGAACAUAAUAAAGAGUCAGGAAAAAAAAAAUAAAGUAAAGCACACCAUAACCAUCUAAUACAAAAAUAACCUCAACCUUCUCUACCUGCAGGAAGCUGUUGAUCUCACAGGGUUAAAAAUUCUUUUUCAGUCAAUCUCAUUAUACAUCCCACACACUAGAACUUAUCUGACAUGAAAGGGAAUAGAUAGAUAUAAAUAUAGUACAUGAAGUGCAGCAUUAACUUUAGUACAGACAAAUUACAUUAAAGACUGUCAACAUUUAGUCUGGCACAACUGCUGUACUGCUACAACAUUUGGGGGAAGAAAAGAGGGACUCACGAUGGUCUCAUUUGUAUCCUUCCAAUGGGUCAUUCAAAAUUGAAUCCUGUGUUAACUCACCCUGGGCUUUGGGGAGCCUCAGUGGAAAGAUGUUAUUUGUGAAGGUGCUCGUAAGAGCAGCUUUGUGGGGUCUGCACAGGGAAGGCGCAGCACUUUGAGGAGCUCCCUGUGGGAGUGCAAUAGCUCAUCUGGGAGAAGUCUCUACUGCAGCACCCACCAGGGAUGGCAGCUCCACCUGAUGCAGCCCUGCUUUCCGAAGGUGUUCACAAUGCAGGGGCUUCUUCGUUUUGUUUCUGUUUUAACAAUCCUGAGAGCUUAACAAUUUCUUUCAUUUAAAGGAAGAAAAUCAAAAAGAGAGACAGAAAGCCCAAUUUCCUAUUUAUUUUUAGUGCCACUUAAUGUGCAUCCUGCUAAGCCAACAAUCAUCCCAGCGUGAGCUGACUAGAAGCAGCUGCAGGUAGCCUCCUGGCUAGCUGGCAGGGAUCAGAGUGGAUAAAAGAGAAAUAAGACUAGGUUUGCCAUGCAGAGUUAACCCAAGCAGGGGAUUUAACUUGUGCUCUCCACCCACAUUACAAAGGGCUUCCUUUUCUUUAUGGCAGGGCCCUUUAGCUCAAGAUAUAAAACCCCAAUGGUCACCUAAAAGAUUUCACAAGACCAAAUAACUGCUGUGAAACCACCUCUGGUGCCAGGGCCUGCCUUCUCUUCCUCAUCUCUGCUUGCUGCAAACCCAUUUCAGAAUCACCUGGGGGAAGCAGCAGGAGCAGCUUCUUGCAGACAGGAACAGAAGUGGAAUUUUGCAGUGAAGGCCCUGUACCCCACGGAGAUGCUUCCAGGUUUGACUCACAUCUGCUGGCUGGCUUAGCAGCAGCUGCUCACUGACAUGCAGGGCAAAGGAUUUAGUAGCCAAUGCUCAAACACUGUCAUAAAACUGUUCUUUUAUAGACACCUGCCCAUUGGAAGAAAAGUGUGCUCUAUUAUCUGCACAGACAUGCAUCGGCUUUGAAACUCCAAGGUCAGAUCUCUGUGUGAAGAUAGGGAUAUUCAUAUAUGGAAAAGCAACAGAGGAAAAAAAUUACUUAAAGGGAACAUUUAUUUCAACAGCAGCAUUUUCAAACAUUUUUUCAGCAAAAUACAUAUUGUAUUAUUAUGAGCUUUGUCCACUGGGGGAGGGCCUGCUAGGAAAAAAUUGUACUGACAAGCCUUUGUGAUACAAAUUCAAGUCAGGUACCUGCCAGCCAAAAUAAUGCAUAUGCAAAUGCCUUACUACCUAAAUCAAACUGGAGAGCUGUGUGUUGGGUAUAGGACUUUGGAGAAAUAAAAACUUAAUCACUUUUUAA
Taeniopygia guttata (zebra finch) is the source of this 6152-nucleotide long non-coding RNA. Lineage: Eukaryota; Metazoa; Chordata; Aves; Passeriformes; Estrildidae. The record is from Ensembl.